This 119-nucleotide non-coding RNA is filed under the name Streptomyces abyssalis. RNAcentral describes it as "Streptomyces sRNA scr5239". It matches the Rfam family "Streptomyces sRNA scr5239". From Rfam's summary of the family: It inhibits agarase DagA expression by direct base pairing to the dagA coding region, and it represses translation of methionine synthase metE (SCO0985) at the 5' end of its open reading frame. Lineage: Bacteria; Bacillati; Actinomycetota; Actinomycetes; Kitasatosporales; Streptomycetaceae. The record is from Rfam by way of RNAcentral.
CUUCUGCUCUCCCCGCACAGGAGGGCAGAGAGAGACCUCGGCGCCGUCUGCCCUGAUCGCGCCAUGGUCUCCGGCAUCGGGCUGCGGUGCCGGGCGGGUUGAGGGUCCCGCUCCGGCGC